GCGUCGUUAGCUCAACUGGAUAGAGUAUUUGGCUUCGAACCAAACGGUUGGGGGUUCGACUCCCUCACGACGCACCA
Molecule: transfer RNA, 77 nt
Filed under: Prevotella sp.
Lineage: Bacteria; Pseudomonadati; Bacteroidota; Bacteroidia; Bacteroidales; Prevotellaceae
Also listed under: 3 other names
Description: tRNA-Arg
Rfam family: tRNA
About the family: Transfer RNA (tRNA) molecules are approximately 80 nucleotides in length.
Source: RNAcentral